Molecule: transfer RNA, 76 nt
Filed under: Bemisia tabaci complex sp. Asia I
Lineage: Eukaryota; Metazoa; Arthropoda; Insecta; Hemiptera; Aleyrodidae
Description: tRNA-Asp
Source: RNAcentral
AAAGAUUUAGUUAAAUAUUAUCAUAACAUUAAUUUGUCAAAUUAAAGUUAGACCACAGCUCAAAAUCUAAUCUUUA